GGACAGAUGGCCGAGUGGUUGAAGGCGCUCGCCUGGAACGCGGGUAUGGGGUAACACUCAUCGAGGGUUCGAAUCCCUCUCUGUCCGCCA
RNAcentral lists this transfer RNA (90 nucleotides) under Methylocystaceae bacterium. RNAcentral's name for it is "tRNA-Ser". It matches the Rfam family "tRNA". Rfam says of the family: Transfer RNA (tRNA) molecules are approximately 80 nucleotides in length. Their secondary structure includes four short double-helical elements and three loops (D, anti-codon, and T loops). Further hydrogen bonds mediate the characteristic L-shaped molecular structure. tRNAs have two regions of fundamental functional importance: the anti-codon, which is responsible for specific mRNA codon recognition, and the 3' end, to which the tRNAs corresponding amino acid is attached (by aminoacyl-tRNA synthetases). tRNAs cope with the degeneracy of the genetic code in two manners: having more than one tRNA (with a specific anti-codon) for a particular amino acid; and 'wobble' base-pairing, i.e. permitting non-standard base-pairing at the 3rd anti-codon position. The record is from RNAcentral. Lineage: Bacteria; Pseudomonadati; Pseudomonadota; Alphaproteobacteria; Hyphomicrobiales; Methylocystaceae.